CCUACGGGUGGCAGCAGUGAGGAAUAUUGGUCAAUGGACGCAAGUCUGAACCAGCCAAGCCGCGUGCAGGAAGACGGCUCUAUGAGUUGUAAACUGCUUUUGUACGAGGGUAAACUCAGACACGCGUAUCUUUUUGAAAGUUUCGUACGAAUAAGGAUCGGCUAAUUCCGUGCCAGCAGCCGCGGUAAUACGGAGGAUUCGAGCGUUAUCCGGAUUUAUUGGGUUUAAAGGGUGCGUAGGCGGUCGGUUAAGUGAGAGGUGAAAUGCCGAGGCUCAACUGUGGAAUUGCAGCGGAUACUGGUCGGCUAGAGUGUAGUUGAGGUAGGCGGAAUUUGUGGUGUAGCGGUGAAAUGCUUAGAGAUCAUGCAGAACACCGAUUGCGAAGGCAGCUUACCAAGGUACUACUGACGUUGAGGCACGAAGGCGUGGGGAGCGAACAGGAUUAGAUACCCGAGUAGUC
Molecule: ribosomal RNA, 460 nt
Filed under: uncultured bacterium
Lineage: Bacteria
Description: partial 16S ribosomal RNA
Rfam family: Bacterial small subunit ribosomal RNA
Source: RNAcentral